CCGCGCUAUAAUCGGCCGGGUACGGCACCUAUUGUGCAACCACUGAUCAGUUGGAUUUACCAAGCUCCACGUGGCCGGGUAUGAUUCUACCGAGCCUUUUGAUGGCCGGGUACGUUUUUACCGAGUCCUCUUUGAGGCCGGGUACGAUAUGAUGAUGAUGACGCCCAUAGAGGCGAAUGUUUUAAAAAAAAGUUUAUGUAUAUAUAUGUAUUAUGCAUUUCAUAUCAGUAGCCCCCAGAGGCACUCAAAUGUUACAUGUUGUAUCUCAUCUGUCUCUUUUUACAUUACUGUUCUUGUUUAUGCUUCUAUGCCUCACAUACUUGGUACAUUAUUCGUACUGACGUCCCUUUUGCCUGGGGACGCUGCGUUUCAUGCCCGCAGGUCCUGAUAGACAGAUCGAGAGCCCUCCAAGUACUCUAUCAACUCAACGGAAGAUGUUGGUGCGCUCCAUUUGCUUCGGAGUUGCUCGUCUGGUUAGUAUUAUUUAGACGUGUAUUGUUUAGUGUGGCGGGAUUCUGUCCCGACCCUUAUGGCAUUUAUGUAUUCUUAGAGGCUUGUAGACAUAUGUCGUGUACGUGAAAGAUUGUAUGGCCUUGUCGGCCUAUGUCUUGAGUUUAUAAAUGAUUAUGUUGGCCUAUUAGGAUUGUAUUUCACGUGUAUAUGAUGAUGUGAUAAGAAAGAUACGUUACG
RNAcentral lists this long non-coding RNA (690 nucleotides) under Nicotiana tabacum (common tobacco). Its description in RNAcentral is "long non-coding RNA (NTAB_LNC003683)". The record is from RNAcentral. Lineage: Eukaryota; Viridiplantae; Streptophyta; Magnoliopsida; Solanales; Solanaceae.